UACUAGGGAAUAAUAGGAAAUAAUAUAAAGGAAGUAUGGAGAGUUUUGAUCUCUCUUGUGUAGGUUCAAUUCCUGCUUUUCUA
This 83-nucleotide transfer RNA is filed under the name Limosa haemastica. Its description in RNAcentral is "tRNA-Gln". The stretch from base 14 to 83 matches the Rfam family "tRNA". From Rfam's summary of the family: Transfer RNA (tRNA) molecules are approximately 80 nucleotides in length. Lineage: Eukaryota; Metazoa; Chordata; Aves; Charadriiformes; Scolopacidae. The record is from RNAcentral.